This 623-nucleotide long non-coding RNA is filed under the name Chinchilla lanigera (long-tailed chinchilla). RNAcentral describes it as "lncRNA (ENSCLAG00000028310.1)". Lineage: Eukaryota; Metazoa; Chordata; Mammalia; Rodentia; Chinchillidae. The record is from RNAcentral.
CCCGCCUGGAGCUAUUGCUGUGAUCCAUUUCAGGAGGAGGUUUUCUAUACACUGACGAAUUCCCCUUGUUGACUUUUCCUAACUGACAGCCAUCUCAGUUACCCUCUUCACCAAGAUCAAGAUGGUCUUCCCCACCCUGUUCAAACUCUCAGAGACUCUGACCUUUAACUUCACUUCUGUGUGCACUGGCUCCUUGUGAUCACUCCAGGCAUCUACUCUUCUCUUUAGACAAAGCACAGUGUUGCCGGAGACACUGGAAAUGUCUCUAUCAGUGUGUCCUGUGGAACCACCAAGGAGGGAAGCUGUGAGAGAGAAAAAAGAGGAGAGAACAGAAGUAUCCUCAGUAAUUGUGGAAAUAACAGGAGAGUCCCAAGAUAGGAACACUGAGAUCUGUCCUCUUGCACUGUCUGUUUGAGAGUAACUGAGCCUGUAAUGAGUCAUCUGUCAUACCAUCCAGUCAGGAGAGAGCUCACAAAAAGAAUACAAUAAAUAUUUCACAACUCUCCAAAAUGUUCUAUUUUACAAGGAAAUUUUUGUUAAGUUUCUGACUUAUUUCACUGUUUUAUUCAAUCCAAAUCUCAGUCUGCUUUCCUCCUCCCAGGUGAAACCACAGGUGAAUGACA